RNAcentral lists this ribosomal RNA (754 nucleotides) under Streptococcus oralis. RNAcentral describes it as "bacterial SSU rRNA". It matches the Rfam family "Bacterial small subunit ribosomal RNA", at positions 89 to 831 of the family's 1533-position model. The record is from RNAcentral. Lineage: Bacteria; Bacillati; Bacillota; Bacilli; Lactobacillales; Streptococcaceae.
GGAUGAGUUGCGAACGGGUGAGUAACGCGUAGGUAACCUGCCUGGUAGCGGGGGAUAACUAUUGGAAACGAUAGCUAAUACCGCAUAAUAGUAGAUGUUGCAUGACAUUUGCUUAAAAGGUGCAAUUGCAUCACUACCAGAUGGACCUGCGUUGUAUUAGCUAGUUGGUGAGGUAACGGCUCACCAAGGCAACGAUACAUAGCCGACCUGAGAGGGUGAUCGGCCACACUGGGACUGAGACACGGCCCAGACUCCUACGGGAGGCAGCAGUAGGGAAUCUUCGGCAAUGGACGGAAGUCUGACCGAGCAACGCCGCGUGAGUGAAGAAGGUUUUCGGAUCGUAAAGCUCUGUUGUAAGAGAAAAACGAGUGUGAGAGUGGAAAGUUCACACUGUGACGGUAUCUUACCAGAAAGGGACGGCUAACUACGUGCCAGCAGCCGCGGUAAUACGUAUGUCCCGAGCGUUGUCCGGAUUUAUUGGGCGUAAAGCGAGCGCAGGCGGUUAGAUAAGUCUGAAGUUAAAGGCUGUGGCUUAACCAUAGUACGCUUUGGAAACUGUUUAACUUGAGUGCAAGAGGGGAGAGUGGAAUUCCAUGUGUAGCGGUGAAAUGCGUAUAUAUAUGGAGGAACACCGGUGGCGAAAGCGGCUCUCUGGCUUGUAACUGACGCUGAGGCUCGAAAGCGUGGGGAGCAAACAGGAUUAUAUACCCUGGUAGUCCACGCCGUAAACGAUGAGUGCUAGGUGUUAGACCCU